UGCGAUCGCGAGUAAAUUCUGACGGCGCCUUUCCAUCUUUCGUUUAUCGCGUAAGAACGCAGUUAACAGUGGUAUUUGUGUCUUCGGCUUUGCUGUGGAGUAUAAACGAUAUAUAAAAACACAGGCCUUUUAAAAGAAGUCAUGUUAUGAUGCCAUCACUAUGAUCACUUGCUGGUGGAGGCCUGCAAAUGUACACACCAGUGACAUGUACCCAGCACUUAUGGUUUUUGAGACGUGAGGGAUUUUUUUGUGCCAACUGUGAGACAGAACCUAAGUUUAUACAGUCUCAUCCGAGGAACCUGUUUGAGCUGUCUCCACAUCCAGGAGUGGGAUUUGAACCUGCCAUGUGUGACUCAUCUGAAUUCUGAAAUUUGAUACAAAGCAUGACCAUGAUUUGCCAGAAGAGCAUCUGUUUGGAUGUGACAAGAAAUAAACAGCAUAGUGAAAUUAAGUCAAGUUUUGGUUCGUGAAGACAACUUUUAAAUACACAGUAUAUCAUUUUUAAAUUUUGAUUUGACAACAUAAAUCCACAAAUAUGAACAUAUCAAUUGCUCUCAGUUUUUCAAAUGAAAUAGAUUUUGUAACAAAAAUACAUGUAAUUACAUUGGAUUUGGAAUAAAUGUUAUUUUUAAAUAUAAUAUUUUGUUU
Molecule: long non-coding RNA, 648 nt
Organism: Saccostrea cuccullata (small rock oyster)
Lineage: Eukaryota; Metazoa; Mollusca; Bivalvia; Ostreida; Ostreidae
Exons: 3
Source: RefSeq, a predicted model, not a curated record